Callithrix jacchus (white-tufted-ear marmoset) is the source of this 577-nucleotide non-coding RNA. NCBI's taxonomy places the organism in Eukaryota, Metazoa, Chordata, Mammalia, Primates, Cebidae. The record is from the annotation of a RefSeq genome assembly.
AUGGCCCACUGGGAGCAGCACAGAGCCAAAGAAACGCCCACCCCCAGCCAAGAAAAGCAGUGGGCCUUAUUCUGUCCCCAGAUUCUAUCUCUUUUCACAGAGCUCACAGAUGCCAGAGUCACCCAGACACCAAGGCACAAGGUGACAGAGAUGGGACAAGAAGUAACUAUGAGAUGUCACCCAGUUUUCGGCCACAAUACUGUUUUCUGGUAUAGACAGACCGUGAUGCAAGGACUGGAGUUGCUGACUUACUUACGCAACCGGGCUCUUCUAGAUGAUUCAGGGAUGCCCAAGGAUCGAUUCUCAGCAGAGAUGCCUACUGCAUCUUUAUCCACUCUGAAGAUCCAGCCUUCAGAAGCCAGGGACUCGGCUGUGUAUCUUUGUGCCAGUGGUUUAGUCACAGUGCUGCAGAAUCACCCACUCCCUGUGCAGAAACCCUUGUGCUUCCUCUUCUCCUCCAGUACCCAGCAGCUCUCAGCAGCCCUUUCUCCUCCUCCCCUAGCACAGGAAGUACAUAGGUUUGGUGUUUCACAUAUCCCUAGGCAAGGCAAGAACAGAUCAUAAGGAUGCAUCACAU